Molecule: transfer RNA, 73 nt
Filed under: Planctomycetota bacterium
Lineage: Bacteria; Pseudomonadati; Planctomycetota
Description: tRNA-Arg
Source: RNAcentral
CGAGCGGCGGUGAUGGUGAGCGCGCCAGGUUUCGAACCUGGGACCUACUGGUUAAAAGCCAGUUGCUCUGCCA